RNAcentral lists this ribosomal RNA (397 nucleotides) under uncultured bacterium. Its description in RNAcentral is "partial 16S ribosomal RNA". It matches the Rfam family "Bacterial small subunit ribosomal RNA", at positions 523 to 918 of the family's 1533-position model. The record is from RNAcentral.
AUACGUAGGUGACAAGCGUUAUCCGGAUUUACUGGGUGUAAAGGGCGUGUAGGCGGUUUAGCAAGUCAGAAGUGAAAUUCCCGGGCUUAACUUGGGCGCUGCUUCUGAAACUGCUUUACUUGAGUGCUGGAGAGGAUAGUGGAAUUCCUAGUGUAGCGGUAAAAUGCGCAGAUAUUAGGAGGAACACCGGUGGCGAAGGCGGCUAUCUGGACAGUAACUGACGCUGAGGCGCGAAAGCACGGGGAGCAAACAGGAUUAGAUACCCUGGUAGUCCGUGCCGUAAACGACGAAUACUAGGUGUAGGGGGUAUCGACUCCCUCUGUGCCGCAGUUAACACAUUAAGUAUUCCACCUGGGGAGUACGGCCGCAAGGUUGAAACUCAAAUGAAUUGACGGGG